RNAcentral lists this non-coding RNA (50 nucleotides) under Vibrio mangrovi. Its description in RNAcentral is "Guanidine-II sequence". It matches the Rfam family "Guanidine-II riboswitch aptamer (mini-ykkC)". Rfam says of the family: Simpler in structure and has fewer highly conserved nucleotide positions than the ykkC-yxkD leader. Lineage: Bacteria; Pseudomonadati; Pseudomonadota; Gammaproteobacteria; Vibrionales; Vibrionaceae. The record is from RNAcentral.
AGCCGGGGACGACCCCGAUUCCGCUCACAAUACCAGCCGGGACGACCCGA